AUUGCUUCUCAGCCUUUUGGCUAAGAUCAAGAGUAGUAGUAUCUGUUCUUAUCAGCUUAAUAUCUGAUGCAUCCUCUAUCCCAGGACAAUACAUAAAAUGGAUUUUUGGAGCUGGGAGAUGGAACAGGAACUUGCUCCCAUGCACUCUGUGCCUUGACCAGGUAUUCCAGUACCUCUGGGAACUGUGCACUUGCU
RNAcentral lists this small nuclear RNA (195 nucleotides) under Procavia capensis (Cape rock hyrax). RNAcentral's name for it is "U2 spliceosomal RNA (ENSPCAG00000019143.1)". It matches the Rfam family "U2 spliceosomal RNA". Rfam says of the family: U2 is a small nuclear RNA (snRNA) component of the spliceosome (involved in pre-mRNA splicing). Lineage: Eukaryota; Metazoa; Chordata; Mammalia; Hyracoidea; Procaviidae. The record is from RNAcentral.